AGCCCACUGCAUCAGUGAUAUGAGAGCUAGCAAGUUUGGGGAGAGGGUGUAAGAAGUGCUAUAGGAGUAUAUAGCAAGUAAGUGGAUUUAUGUUUUUCAGGAAGAGUGAAACCCAGCCUCUGUUCUGUUUGGAAAUUCCUAAGUUUUAAUCUAAAGGCUGCUGGCCCAGAUCUUUCUUCAUGAGGCUGGAUUGACUACUAUGCAAGCCUUUCCUGGCAGAAAUUUGACUAUCAUGUUCCUGGAAACCAUCAGUGACAAAGAUGCCACAGCCAUCUCUGAUCUGCUGUGCUGCACCGACCACGGUAAGGACUGUGACCAGAGCUUCUGCAUUCCUUCAUCCUAACCAGUUUCCUCCUUGAUCAGUCCCUUGGGAUGGUACAGUUGUGUCACUGCAUGCUCAGUGAUGCUGGUGCCUCCUCCAGGUUGGUAAGGCCGAGAGAGAUACUUCACCCAGCCUACAACAUUUUGACAAGCAAGAAAAGCCACUGGGAACCUGUAACUUCUCCUCUUCAUACUAGAGCAAAGCAUGUCCUGGAUUUCCUGCUCUGGUAGGCUGCAAAAACCAUGGUUUUGGUGAGGACUUUAGCUCAAGUCCACAAUAAAGGGGUAGAAAAUGGUUUUGCAAGAGGGCUGACUGAGCUAGAAUGGAUUUGUUAAUGAUCUCUGAACACUCAAAGAAUUUGCUAGAACUUCCUGAAGCUAUUUCAUUUGUGGAAUAAAGACAUCCUUUCUCUGACAUCUAAGUAAAGUGCAAGGCAAACUCAUCUGCAUGCAGAGAUUUGUUCACUUGUGAAUCCCCUAAAGUCCUUCUCUAAUAAAACCCAGUCAUGUGGCUGUUUGCAGAUACCAGCAAACAAAAACACAAAACACAUCGCAAGAGACCAAGAUUUGGAUUUUUGCAACACAAUCACGCAUAAUUUUUCCUCAAUUGAUUGAGGCAGCUGAUUAGUAUUGAAUAAAACCAUUCCCCAAUUUGUAAUUACACUCUGCUUGCAUUAUUAUCUAUUUAUGCUGUUGGCCAUGCCCUAUUGUAAUUGUUCACCCCAUGGCUAGAUGUGGCUUUGUUCUCUCCUUUAUGCUAUCGCCUCUUUGCAGAUGCAGCCUUACAAUGAGCUAGUCCUGGGUGCUCCUAGUUCUUGUUUCUGCUCAACAUCUUGGAAAACUAAACAAACAAAAUCAGCCCUUCUAAACCCCUCAAGGCUGACAGACAAGAUGAGUAUGAAAUUUGCUAUGUCCCAGCAGUUGUUCUGUCUACUCAGGAGAAAUGCUGUCAGCUUUUCUUUGCAGUUAAUUUCUUAAAAAUCAUCCCCAUGAGGCAAGGAGGAGGCAUGGAAGCUUUACCAAAUAAAAAGCAAAAUCCUGUGUUGUCGUCCUUUCCUGGUUUUGUUCUGUUUUACCUGUGGAAAGUAAAAACACCCCAACUCUGAAAGAAGUAGGGAAAAAGAACAGGAGCUGGCUUCUGAUCUGCCCCAUGCUAGGGAGAUCAUAACUUUUCUUCGCUUUGUGUACUUUAUUGAAGCACUUUAAAAUAUAACAUCUGGAACUACAGGGAAGGUACACUGACAAGUAUAAUAAAGCAAUUUUUAAUAGGUA
Anas platyrhynchos (mallard) is the source of this 1593-nucleotide long non-coding RNA. RefSeq lists it as uncharacterized. The record is from RefSeq and is a predicted model, not a curated record. Lineage: Eukaryota; Metazoa; Chordata; Aves; Anseriformes; Anatidae.